This 253-nucleotide ribosomal RNA is filed under the name uncultured bacterium. RNAcentral's name for it is "partial 16S ribosomal RNA". It matches the Rfam family "Bacterial small subunit ribosomal RNA", at positions 524 to 776 of the family's 1533-position model. RNAcentral also lists the same sequence under 1 other name. The record is from RNAcentral.
UACGUAGGAUGCAAGCGUUGUCCGGAAUUAUUGGGCGUAAAGAGCGAGCAGGCGGUUUGGAAAGUUGGACGUGAAAUUUUAGGGCUUAACCCUAAAGGGUCGUCCAAAACUCCCAGACUAGAGUGCAGGAGAGGAAAGCGGAAUUCCCGGUGUAGUGGUGAAAUGCGUAGAUAUCGGGAGGAACACCAGAGGCGAAGGCGGCUUUCUGGCCUGUAACUGACGCUGAGGCGCGAAGGCUGGGGUAGCGAACAGG